UGAUUAGCUGGUUGGUGGGGUAACGGCCUACCAAGGCGACGAUCAGUAGCCGGCCUGAGAGGGUGAACGGCCACAUUGGGACUGAGACACGGCCCAAACUCCUACGGGAGGCAGCAGUGGGGAAUAUUGCACAAUGGGGGAAACCCUGAUGCAGCGACGCCGCGUGAGUGAAGAAGUAUUUCGGUAUGUAAAGCUCUAUCAGCAGGGAAGAAAAAAGACGGUACCUGACUAAGAAGCCCCGGCUAACUACGUGCCAGCAGCCGCGGUAAUACGUAGGGGGCAAGCGUUAUCCGGAUUUACUGGGUGUAAAGGGAGCGUAGACGGCAUGGCAAGCCAGAUGUGAAAUACCGGGGCUCAACCCCGGGACUGCAUUUGGAACUAUUAAGCUGGAGUGUCGGAGAGGCAGGCGGAAUUCCUAGUGUAGCGGUGAAAUGCGUAGAUAUUAGGAGGAACACCGGU
Molecule: ribosomal RNA, 459 nt
Filed under: uncultured bacterium
Lineage: Bacteria
Description: bacterial SSU rRNA
Rfam family: Bacterial small subunit ribosomal RNA
Source: RNAcentral